This 2902-nucleotide ribosomal RNA is filed under the name Pasteurella multocida. Its description in RNAcentral is "23S ribosomal RNA". It matches the Rfam family "Bacterial large subunit ribosomal RNA". Lineage: Bacteria; Pseudomonadati; Pseudomonadota; Gammaproteobacteria; Pasteurellales; Pasteurellaceae. The record is from RNAcentral.
GGUUAAGUGACUAAGCGUACAGGGCGGAUGCCUUGGCAAUCAGAGGCGAUGAAGGACGUGCUAAUCUGCGAAAAGCUUGGAUGAGUCGAUAAGAGGCGUUUAAUCCAAGAUGUCCGAAUGGGGAAACCCAGUAGAUGAAGAAUCUACUAUCAAUAAAUGAAUACAUAGUUUAUUGAGGCGAACCGGGAGAACUGAAACAUCUAAGUACCCCGAGGAAAAGAAAUCAACCGAGAUUCUGUGAGUAGCGGCGAGCGAAAGCGGAAGAGCCAGUAAGUUUUAGCUAGCGUAUUAGAGGAAUUGGCUGGGAAGCCAAAUCAAAGAGGGUGAUAAUCCCGUACUCGAAAGUAUGGUAGUGGAACUAAGCUUACGAUAAGUAAGGCGGGACACGAGAAAUCCUGUUUGAAGAUGGGGGGACCAUCCUCCAAGGCUAAAUACUCCUGAUUGACCGAUAGUGAACCAGUACUGUGAAGGAAAGGCGAAAAGAACCCCGGUGAGGGGAGUGAAAUAGAACCUGAAACCCUGUACGUACAAGCAGUAGGAGCGAGGGCAACCUUGUGACUGCGUACCUUUUGUAUAAUGGGUCAGCGACUUAUAUUUUGUAGCGAGGUUAACUGAAUAAAGGGAGCCGAAGGGAAACCGAGUCUUAACUGGGCGUUGAGUUGCAAGGUAUAGACCCGAAACCCGGUGAUCUAGCCAUGGGCAGGUUGAAGGUUGGGUAACACUAACUGGAGGACCGAACCGACUAAUGUUGAAAAAUUAGCGGAUGACUUGUGGCUGGGGGUGAAAGGCCAAUCAAACCGGGAGAUAGCUGGUUCUCCCCGAAAUCUAUUUAGGUAGAGCCUUGAGCGGACACCUUCGGGGGUAGAGCACUGUUUCGGCUAGGGGUCCAUCCCGGAUUACCAACCCGAUGCAAACUGCGAAUACCGAAGAGUGAUACUCAGGAGACACACGGCGGGUGCUAACGUUCGUCGUGGAGAGGGAAACAACCCAGACCGCCAGCUAAGGUCCCGAAGUCUAUAUUAAGUGGGAAACGAAGUGGGAAGGCUUAGACAGCUAGGAUGUUGGCUUAGAAGCAGCCAUCAUUUAAAGAAAGCGUAAUAGCUCACUAGUCGAGUCGGCCUGCGCGGAAGAUGUAACGGGGCUCAAAUAUAGCACCGAAGCUGCGGCAUCAGAAUUUAUUCUGUUGGGUAGGGGAGCGUUGUGUAAGCGGAUGAAGGUGGCUCGAGAGGGUUGCUGGACGUAUCACAAGUGCGAAUGCUGACAUAAGUAACGAUAAAACGAGUGAAAAACUCGUUCGCCGGAAGACCAAGGGUUCCUGUCCAACGUUAAUCGGGGCAGGGUGAGUCGGCCCCUAAGGCGAGGCUGAAAAGCGUAGUCGAUGGGAAACGGGUUAAUAUUCCCGUACUUGGAUAAACUGCGAUGUGGGGACGGAGAAGGUUAGGUUAGCAGACUGUUGGAUGUCUGUUUAAGGUGGUAGGUGGAAGACUUAGGCAAAUCCGGGUCUUUAUAAAACACUGAGAGCUGAUGACGAGGUCUUAAGGGACUGAAGUAACUGAUACCCUGCUUCCAGGAAAAGCCACUAAGCUUCAGGUUUAUCUAAACCGUACUGAAAACCGACACAGGUGGUCAGGUAGAGAAUACUCAGGCGCUUGAGAGAACUCGGGUGAAGGAACUAGGCAAAAUAGCACCGUAACUUCGGGAGAAGGUGCGCUUACAGUAAUUGUAGUCCCUUGCGGAUGAAGGUGAAGUAAGUCGAAGAUACCAGCUGGCUGCAACUGUUUAUUAAAAACACAGCACUCUGCAAACACGAAAGUGGACGUAUAGGGUGUGAUGCCUGCCCGGUGCUGGAAGGUUAAUUGAUGGUGUUAUCGAAAGAGAAGCUCCUGACCGAAGCCCCAGUAAACGGCGGCCGUAACUAUAACGGUCCUAAGGUAGCGAAAUUCCUUGUCGGGUAAGUUCCGACCUGCACGAAUGGCAUAAUGAUGGCCAGGCUGUCUCCACCCGAGACUCAGUGAAAUUGAAAUCGCCGUGAAGAUGCGGUGUACCCGCGGCUAGACGGAAAGACCCCGUGAACCUUUACUAUAGCUUGACACUGAACAUUGAAUUUUGAUGUGUAGGAUAGGUGGGAGCCUUUGAAGCAGUGACGCCAGUCAUUGUGGAGGCGACCUUGAAAUACCACCCUUUAACGUUUGAUGUUCUAACGAAGUGCCUGAAACGGGUACUCGGACAGUGUCUGGUGGGUAGUUUGACUGGGGCGGUCUCCUCCCAAAGCGUAACGGAGGAGCACGAAGGUUUGCUAAUGACGGUCGGACAUCGUCAGGUUAGUGCAAUGGUAUAAGCAAGCUUAACUGCGAGACAGACAAGUCGAGCAGGUGCGAAAGCAGGUCAUAGUGAUCCGGUGGUUCUGAAUGGAAGGGCCAUCGCUCAACGGAUAAAAGGUACUCCGGGGAUAACAGGCUGAUACCGCCCAAGAGUUCAUAUCGACGGCGGUGUUUGGCACCUCGAUGUCGGCUCAUCACAUCCUGGGGCUGAAGUAGGUCCCAAGGGUAUGGCUGUUCGCCAUUUAAAGUGGUACGCGAGCUGGGUUUAGAACGUCGUGAGACAGUUCGGUCCCUAUCUGCCGUGGGCGUUGGAUGAUUGAUUGGGGCUGCUCCUAGUACGAGAGGACCGGAGUGGACGCAUCACUGGUGUUCCAGUUGUCUCGCCAGAGGCAUUGCUGGGUAGCUAAAUGCGGAAGAGAUAAGUGCUGAAAGCAUCUAAGCACGAAACUUGCCAAGAGAUGAGUCAUCCCUGACUUUAAGUCAGUAAGGGUUGUUGUAGACUACGACGUAGAUAGGUUGGGUGUGUAAGUGUAGUGAUACAUUGAGCUAACCAAUACUAAUUGCCCGAGAGGCUUAACCAU